AUUGAACGCUGGCGGAAUGCUUUACACAUGCAAGUCGAACGGCAGCACGGACUUCGGUCUGGUGGCGAGUGGCGAACGGGUGAGUAAUGUAUCGGAACGUGCCCAGUCAUGGGGGAUAACGUAGUGAAAAUUACGCUAAUACCGCAUACGAUCUAUGGAUGAAAGCGGGGGAUCGCAAGACCUCGCGCGAGUGGAGCGGCCGAUAUCAGAUUAGGUAGUUGGUGGGGUAAAGGCCCACCAAGCCAACGAUCGGUAGCUGGUCCGAGCAGGCGGCCGGCCACUCUGGAACGGAGAUACGGUACAGACUCCUACGGGAUGCAGCAGUGGAGACUUGUGGACACUGGGCGAAAGCCUGAUCCAGCCAUUCCGCGUGCAGGAUGAAGGCCCUCGGGUUGUAAACUGCUUAUGUACAGAACGAAAAUGUUUCUACUAAUACUAGGAGCUCAUGACGGUACUGUAAGAAUAAGCACCGGCUAACUACGUGCCAGCCGCCGCCGUAA
Molecule: ribosomal RNA, 500 nt
Filed under: uncultured bacterium
Lineage: Bacteria
Description: partial 16S ribosomal RNA
Rfam family: Bacterial small subunit ribosomal RNA
Source: RNAcentral